This 87-nucleotide transfer-messenger RNA is filed under the name Syntrophomonadaceae bacterium. RNAcentral describes it as "partial transfer-messenger RNA". It matches the Rfam family "transfer-messenger RNA", at positions 287 to 374 of the family's 374-position model. Rfam says of the family: Bacterial tmRNA, also known as 10Sa RNA or SsrA, is named for its dual tRNA and mRNA-like properties. Its role is to liberate the mRNA from a stalled ribosome. Lineage: Bacteria; Bacillati; Bacillota; Clostridia; Eubacteriales; Syntrophomonadaceae. The record is from RNAcentral.
GCGCGAAGCUCAAAACACAGACUGCGCUCGGAGAGACUCGGCUGGUCUUUCUUUCGGACGGGGGUUCGACUCCCCCCGCCUCCACCA